RNAcentral lists this ribosomal RNA (435 nucleotides) under uncultured bacterium. RNAcentral describes it as "bacterial SSU rRNA". It matches the Rfam family "Bacterial small subunit ribosomal RNA", at positions 957 to 1393 of the family's 1533-position model. The record is from RNAcentral.
UAACGCGAAGAACCUUACCUGGGUUUGACAUAUAGGGAAAUCCUCCAGAGAUGGGGGGUCCGUAAGGGUCCUAUACAGGUGGUGCAUGGCUGUCGUCAGCUCGUGUCGUGAGAUGUUGGGUUAAGUCCCGCAACGAGCGCAACCCUCGUCCUAUGUUGCCAGCACGUUAUGGUGGGGACUCAUAGGAGACUGCCGGGGUCAACUCGGAGGAAGGUGGGGAUGACGUCAAGUCAUCAUGCCCCUUAUGUCCAGGGCUUCACGCAUGCUACAAUGGCCGGUACAAAGGGCUGCGAAGCCGUAAGGUGGAGCGAAUCCCAAAAAGCCGGUCUCAGUUCGGAUUGGGGUCUGCAACUCGACCCCAUGAAGUCGGAGUCGCUAGUAAUCGCAGAUCAGCAACGCUGCGGUGAAUACGUUCCCGGGUCUUGUACACACCGA